UAUAUAAGAAGAGUCCAGACAUAGCAGGGGAAGUGUCCAUGGCAGGUGAAGAAGCAGUGUCUGUGUGGCCAAGAGCCCUUGGAGCAGGUGACAUGGUGGCCUGACCACUUUUCUAAAUCUUAGAGACAAUGAGAAUGGUGACUUACCAUGCUUCCAACUGCCAUCUUCACCAUAGAGCUGCAGUACUGUUCUCACAAAGUCCUUGGCAUUAAAACAAACAACGGGACAUUUACACCUCAGUGUCCAAAACAGUAUGUUCCUAGACAAAAGAAAAUUCACCAUUUAGAUAGUAAUUUGGGUCUUGGAAAAAUAUUGUAAUAUCAAAUCGCUAUCUAUCCUUAUGUAGUAUAUCCACACCUCGAUUAACUACCGAAUCCUAUGAGCUCCUGUGCAGAACACACACACUGGACCUGGUCCAAGCCUCCAAGUGUCCCACCUCUCGGCAGGCCAGGUCUUUCCUUCUGCCACUGCACGGUGCCACUCCUACCCACACUGCUGGGGAUGACAUAUGCUCUUGCAUGCCUACUCUUCUCCACCCACAACUUGUGCAACCUGCUCAAGAGAUGUUCUGGGCAAGCAGCCUACCCACACACCUUUCACAGAAGGACCCACACGUGCUAAACUGCAGCUUCUUCCAUCACCUUAUGAGCUUCUGAAUCUGGGAUAACAGUUAACAUUUAUCAUAGCAGAUACCAGGCUACCAUUUCACAAUGUUGCCACACUGAAACUUAAUCCACCUUGACAGGUGUUCUGUACACAUGGGCUCACUUGCUCAUGUGUAAUCCCAAGGCUCCAAGAGUACUCAUGGGAAAUGGAGCUGACAACUGAGAAUAGAGAACUGAGAAGGAUGCCUGAACUGGAGUAUGGCACACCUGCAGUCCAUUUUUGGCUUUUUGCAUGCUGAGACAACACAUUAUAAGCCAAGCCACACAGUUCAAAUAGUCAGUUGUGUCUACUGGCCUGCUUGUACCUGAACCAAAUAAACCACUUCCAGCAC
RNAcentral lists this long non-coding RNA (997 nucleotides) under Mus caroli (Ryukyu mouse). RNAcentral describes it as "lncRNA (MGP_CAROLIEiJ_G0003651.1)". Lineage: Eukaryota; Metazoa; Chordata; Mammalia; Rodentia; Muridae. The record is from RNAcentral.